AUACCAUACAUAGAAGUCGCUAAAAGUUUAUGGAAGAGUAUUAAAGAAAAUUUUUCGGUCUCCGACAGUCCAAGAAUAUAGCAGUUGAAGGCCGAAGUAGAGUACAAAUAAAAGUUCAUUACCAUUGUUAAUUACUAUACAAAAAUCUGCGAAGAACUUGCUAAUUUUGAUCAAAUACCGACUUGCACAGGGAGGUCGAACUUACUCGGUCAAGAUCCAUUGCCAACUUUGAAUCGAUUUUACUUGAAGUUGGUACAAGACAAAUGUG
Molecule: long non-coding RNA, 268 nt
Filed under: Nicotiana benthamiana
Lineage: Eukaryota; Viridiplantae; Streptophyta; Magnoliopsida; Solanales; Solanaceae
Description: long non-coding RNA (NBEN_LNC015634)
Source: RNAcentral